CAACUGCCUGAAAACUAAAAGGCUACAAUUUUGAAGAGAGAGAGAGCGAGAGAGUUUCCAAUUGAUCAUCAUCCUGUAAAAGGUGACCCAACUUUCAACAGAGAACGCUGCUCAUCUUCAACAAGGCAUCGGUUUGCUUCUCUCAGCUUGGACUGCCCUUCAGAUGGCCUUUGAGAACUGUUGUGGUGGCCCUGACUCUCUCUCCUCAAAAAUCCCAACAAGUCGCCUCCGAUAUUUUCUCUUGCCUCAACCAAUCCAAAGAGUUCUUUCUAAACAACUUUAUGCAGAUAGCAGAGAAAUGAAUGAUUAUGCAUGAAGAGUGUUUUGGAAGGUAACUAUAAGUCAAUUCAAAUACUAAAGGAAAUGAAUCCUCUGAGAGGUGCUGUUCCUCAUAUCUGACAGUGAUGGGCAACGAUGAUGAUAGCAUAGGGGACAAUGAUUCAGAAGUCGGCGCUUUAGAGUACCAAUUGAAUGUAGAAGAUGGAAGGACAGUAGUUGCCUCUAGGCAGAGCAAAGGUAGAAGGAACUAGGUUGAACCCUCAAGAUUUAUGAUCCCUGUUUAUUUUUGCUUUUUAAUUUCCUCUUUUUUAUCCUAUACUUUUUGCCCCUUUAUUUGUGUCAAUAUGUCAUUUUUAUAGAGUUAUUAGUGUGGCAAAUUUUGUUCCUUGCUUUUGAUGCCAUGCCAAGGAAGUUGUGCUUGUGGUGUAACUGGAGAGUGGAGACUGGUUUCCUCUCAUAUAUAGGUUCUAAAGCAUCAUACAUGAAAAAGUUUGCUUUCUAUAUA
Molecule: non-coding RNA, 784 nt
Organism: Camellia sinensis
Lineage: Eukaryota; Viridiplantae; Streptophyta; Magnoliopsida; Ericales; Theaceae
Source: RefSeq, a predicted model, not a curated record